CUACGGGACGCUGCAGUUAGGAAUAAUCUGCAAUGCGCGAAAGCGUGACAGUUUGAGCCAGGGUGCUAUUCUAUUGAAUAGCUUUUGCUAAAUGUAAAAAGUUUGGCGAAUAAGGACUGGGUAAGACUAGUGCCAGCCGCCGCGGUAAUACUAGCGGUCCAAGUCGCAGCCAUAUUUAUUGGGUCUAAAACAUCCGUAGCUUGCUUGGUAAGUUUCUUGUGAAAUCCUGUCUCUUAAGGUCAGUGCGCGCAGGGAGUACUACUAAGCUAGAGACUGGGAGACGUAAGAAGUACGUUCGAAGUAGCGGUAAAAUGUGUUAAUCUCGGACGGACUCACAACAGCGAAGGCAUCUCACGAGAACAGUUCUGACAGUCAGGGAUGAAGGCUAGGGGCGCAAAACGGAUUAGAUACCCGCGUAGUC
This 421-nucleotide ribosomal RNA is filed under the name uncultured archaeon. Its description in RNAcentral is "partial 16S ribosomal RNA". It matches the Rfam family "Archaeal small subunit ribosomal RNA", at positions 323 to 746 of the family's 1478-position model. The record is from RNAcentral.